Long non-coding RNA from Dalotia coriaria, 533 nucleotides. RefSeq lists it as uncharacterized. NCBI's taxonomy places the organism in Eukaryota, Metazoa, Arthropoda, Insecta, Coleoptera, Staphylinidae. The record is from RefSeq and is a predicted model, not a curated record. The transcript is spliced from 3 exons.
AUGACUGCUGCAGUCGCAGAGCUGCAGUAGUGCAGUAUAGUAGUGUGCUGCAAGCGUGUGUGCCCCCGAGAACUUGCCAACUACAUCCAAUUUGUAGGUGCUCGACUAUCCGAGCCAUGCACGACGUCAAUGUGAACUCGUAUCGUUACAAGCCGACUUGUUCGAGAGCAUGAUCCAAACAGCAAAAACGGCGAGCUACUCAACGGAAAGUCAACCCAACCAUUGUUGGCUGGUUCAUAUGUUGUUGGGUUUUGCAUGUGGGCGUUGUUCCAUAUACAACAUAUAUAAUUCGCUCGCAAAAAUUGUUGAAGUAGCUCACUUUUGCAAGGUGGUAAGCUGCUAGCAUCAAAGUUGCGCAAUUUUUUUUUUAUUAAAAGCUUCAUUUACAUCUGACACCGAGUAUGAAUCAAUGAACAUUUGAAGUCUUGGAGCAGGCGAUAUUGAUAACGAUCAAACAUCGGACCGGAGUUGCAGAGAUGGCGAAAAUGGAGAUAUCGAUAACAGUGAUGAUUAUUAUUAAAUAUUUGUUGAAA